CUUGCUCUGGUGGCGAGUGGCGAACGGGUGAGUAAUAUAUCGGAACGUACCCUGGAGUGGGGGAUAACGUAGCGAAAGUUACGCUAAUACCGCAUACGAUCUAAGGAUGAAAGUGGGGGAUCGCAAGACCUCAUGCUCGUGGAGCGGCCGAUAUCUGAUUAGCUAGUUGGUAGGGUAAAAGCCUACCAAGGCAUCGAUCAGUAGCUGGUCUGAGAGGACGACCAGCCACACUGGAACUGAGACACGGUCCAGACUCCUACGGGAGGCAGCAGUGGGGAAUUUUGGACAAUGGGCGAAAGCCUGAUCCAGCAAUGCCGCGUGAGUGAAGAAGGCCUUCGGGUUGUAAAGCUCUUUUGUCAGGGAAGAAACGGUGAAAGCUAAUAUCUUUUGCUAAUGACGGUACCUGAAGAAUAAGCACCGGCUAACUACGUGCCAGCAGCCGCGGUAAUACGGAGG
Molecule: ribosomal RNA, 456 nt
Filed under: bacterium AED16K
Lineage: Bacteria
Description: bacterial SSU rRNA
Rfam family: Bacterial small subunit ribosomal RNA
Source: RNAcentral